Molecule: ribosomal RNA, 604 nt
Filed under: uncultured bacterium
Lineage: Bacteria
Description: bacterial SSU rRNA
Rfam family: Bacterial small subunit ribosomal RNA
Source: RNAcentral
UGCUUAAUACAUGCAAGUCGAGCGGGGUUACUGCGACAGAUCCCUUCGGGGUGACGUUGCUUUAACCUAGCGGCGGACGGGUGAGUAACGCGUGGGUAACCUACCCUAAAGCUCGGGAUAACAGUGGGAAACCGCUGCUAAUACCGGAUGACUUUAACCUAUGGCAUCAUGGGUUAAAGAAAGAUUUAUCGCUUUAGGAUGGGCCCGCAUCCCAUUAGCUAGUUGGUGAGGUAACGGCUCACCAAGGCGACGAUGGGUAGCCGGCCUGAGAGGGUGUACGGCCACACUGGGACUGAGACACGGCCCAGACUCCUACGGGAGGCAGCAGUAGGGAAUAUUGCGCAAUGGACGGAAGUCUGACGCAGCGACGCCGCGUGAGCGAUGAAGGCCUUCGGGUCGUAAAGCUCUGUCCUUGGGGAAGAAGGUCUUCGGACUUGACGGUACCCAAGAAGAAAGCCCCGACUAACUACGUGCCAGCAGCCGCGGUAAUACGUAGGGGGCGAGCGUUGUCCGGAAUUACUGGGCGUAAAGGGUGCGUAGGCGGCCCUUUAAGUCAGAUGUGAAAGGCCACGGCUUAACCGUGGGAUUGCAUUUGAAACUGGAG